Molecule: ribosomal RNA, 450 nt
Filed under: uncultured Glomeromycotina
Lineage: Eukaryota; Fungi; Glomeromycota
Description: SSU rRNA
Rfam family: Eukaryotic small subunit ribosomal RNA
Source: RNAcentral
AGCAGCCGCGGUAAUUCCAGCUCCAAUAGCGUAUAUUAAAGUUGUUGCAGUUAAAAAGCUCGUAGUUGAAUUUCGGGGUUAGUAGGUUGGUCGUGCCACCGGUAUGUACUGGCUCUACUGAUCCCUCCUUCUUGUAGAACCGUAAUGCCAUUAACUUGGUGUUGCGGGGAAACAGGACUGUUACUUUGAAAAAAUUAGAGUGUUUAAAGCAGGCUAACGCUUGAAUACAUUAGCAUGGAAUAAUGAAAUAGGACGCUCGAUCCUAUUUUGUUGGUUUCUAGGAUUGACGUAAUGAUUAAUAGGGAUAGUUGGGGGCAUUAGUAUUCAAUUGUCAGAGGUGAAAUUCUUGGAUUUAUUGAAGACUAACUACUGCGAAAGCAUUUGCCAAGGAUGUUUUCAUUAAUCAAGAACGAAAGUUAGGGGAUCGAAGACGAUCAGAUACCGUCGUAG